Scatophagus argus is the source of this 749-nucleotide long non-coding RNA. RefSeq lists it as uncharacterized. The record is from RefSeq and is a predicted model, not a curated record. Lineage: Eukaryota; Metazoa; Chordata; Actinopteri; Scatophagidae. The transcript is spliced from 4 exons.
UUUCACACUGUUCCGUUACCAGAGGUACCGCCAUCGUUCCACUGUAAUCCCUCCUAAGCGUAUUUGCACAAGGUAUUGCGGAAAGAGUUUAGCUGUUAGUUCAGUGAGUGAUAUAUGUAGGAAAGGAUCACAAGGAUCAUUGGAGGAUCUCAGGACAUUUGUUAAAGUAUAACUGCACAAAGUCAUGCCAGCACAUGUCCUUGGAAAACAGCUAAAAACAAAAGACAAAAGCCAAAAAGAAAAAAAGGACUGUGGUAGUUUGGGAUUUUUCCUUCUAUGACUGCAGUGAAAAGCACAUCUAUUUUAUGUAAUGAGCUUACAUCAUACCAUCAUGAAUCAUAACUCUGUAGCAGAUGGCAGCGUGUGUGCAACAGUCUGCUGUCCUGCAGGCCGCUGAGACCCACACCAUUAAGGACAGAGAGUGUGGUCGCUUCGCUUCACCAGCGUCACUGACAACAUGUCAGCCAGUUCCACUCAACCUGCAGUGUUCUGCACCAUGCCAUUCAGCUGCCGCACUGUGCUUCUCCUUCACGAAGCUGUGGUCUGCCUCUGAGCAUUCUGAGAUUUGUGUGUUUCAGUGUAUGAGAUUGAAUUUAAGGUUAGGUUUAUUUAUAAAUCCCACCUUUUACUACUAAAGGUAACACAAGGUACUUUUAUUAAAUGUCAAAUUGAAGAACAACUGAUACAAAAAGACGCUGAGAACGAUCUGAGUAAAAAAAAAUUUCCUUCAAAAUUCUACACAAAAUACC